GGACUGGUAGUUUCCUCGCUGUCCAACUCCCCUUCCACCCGUGGGAGCUCAGGACAGGAGGUGAAGUCACUCUCUCAAGGUCUGAAUGCUUCAAUACUGAAUAUAAACUCCAGGGUCCUCAAGGACAGCUCCCUGUUUUUAUGCCAAUCACAGGGCCCAGAGCAGAAUACCUUCUCUACUGGGUGAGUAAAACCUGCAGUGGGGACAGGAUGGAGGGGCUGGGGUAAUGCUCAACAGUAGAGCACUUGCCUAGCAUCUGCAUCCCUAGCACUGCAAAAAAUGUAAAUAAAAUAAAGCAGAAAUAAAUAAAUAAAACCAAAAAGCACAUGGGAAUAGGUACAGCUCAUGUUCAUAAAGCACUUUCUAUGUGCCAAGAGCCAUGAUGAGUGCCUUAUGGGAGUCAUUGACCCUGGACAUGACCCUGUGGCAGAGUGAUAACCUCAGCCUGAUUUCUAUGGUGAAGAAAAUGAGGCUGGGAAAGAUUGAGCUACUUUGCCCAAAAAUGUACAGCUAACUGGUGUCUGGGGCAGGAUUUUGACCUGGAUUUCAAAUAGAGGUUUUUAUUCUCAAGAGUUUAGAAACUUGCCCAAGGUAAGACAGGGAACUUGAGUGCCAAAUGUCUGUAGUCCUGAAAUGUUGGCCAAGAUCACUUUGUAUCGAUCCACUAAACUUAAAACAAUUACCUCAGGAAAGCAACAACCAAUUGGUGUCUCUUUCUCCCUCUUCCUCACCCAAACUUGACUUGGUACAAAAUACAUUGUAUCAGCCUCUGGUUCCCUUGCCCUUAUAUUCUUAAAAUGAUGUAUUAGUCUGUUUUCUGUCACUACAAUGAAAUAACUGAAGCUGGAUGAUGAUGAAAGAAAAGAGGUUUCAUUUAGCUCCUAGUUCUGGAGGUUCAAGGUCAGGGCUCUGGCGUUACUCAGUUCUGCUGAAGGCCUCAUGGCAAAUGACAUCACAAUCAUGGGAACAUGCGUGAAAGGAAGAGAUCACAGGGCACAGGAAACCAGAUAGCAAGAAAGGGCUAACAAUGACCUCUCACUGGGCCGUGCUUCUUAAAGUUUCCAUCAUAUUGCCACCCUGGGGACCAACACAUGAGCUCUUGGGGAACACACCCAAACCAGAUCUAAACUGUGGCAGAUGAGCACCCAUUUUUAGUAGAAGUUGUGUUCCUGAGUAAAGUGGGCAACUCUCAACAUCCAUUCAGCAAAUGUAUCUCAGGUUCCAACCUGUGCAAUGCAUGAGGCGGGGACGGGAAUGCGGAGUUCUUUCCAAUGGAGCAUCCAACCUCAAGAAUUUUAUUUAUUUAUUUUUAUUAUUUUUUUAUUAUUAGUUGUUCAAAACAUUACAAAGCUCUUGACAUAUCAUAUUUCAUACAUUUGAUUCAAGCGGAUUAUGAACUCCCAUUUUUACCCCGUAUACAGAUUGCAGAAUCACAUCGGUUACACAUCCACUGUUUUACAUACUGCCAUACUAGUGUAAAUGCACUUUCCUUCCACUUUGAACCAGGUGGACUCCAAGGAAGUUGAAAGGUGAAGCCUCCGCUGCUGUGUGGUGGUGGGUAUCGCAGGUUCAUGGAUUUGUCAGAGGAAUUUUGCAGAUAUUCGCAUUUCCUGAUGCCCAUCAGGGUGGGUCUGAAGCUCCCCGCACUGAAGGGGCCAAGUUCCUUCGUUAACAUGCAGAGACCCUGGCUGACGUCAGUGUCCGCUGAGUUAAACAGUCAAUGAGCAGAGCCAAGGAGGUCAGUAUCAAGGAAAGUAAAGAAACCAAAAGUGAGGUGGGAAACUGGAACUGCACAUUCUAGAAGCAAAGGGAUCAAUAACUAGCUUUGGAACCAUUUGUCUCUCAGAAUUUCUUUUUUUCUGAUGGAGGGUAUAAUGGAGAUUGAACCCAGGGGUGCUGUACCACUGAGCCACAUCCCCUGCCCUUUUCAUUUUUCAUUUUGAGACAGGGUCUAGCUAAGUUGCAGAGGCUGACCUUGAAUUUGCCAUCCUCCUGCCUCAGCUUCCUGAGUCUUGGGGAUUACAGGUGCCCACUACUGAGCGCCCAACUGCUGAGUCAGAAUCUUGGCUCUGCCAGUCGCUGGCUGUGUGACCUUGGCAAGUCCCGUAGCUAUUCUCAAGUUUAGUUUCAAAAUCACUAAAAUGACCCAUUAAUAUCUGCCUUGCAGGGUGAUUAGAUUAGUGACAGUGCAUGUAAAACGCCCAGCCCAGGGUCUGGCCUCUCUCUGUUUGGUAACUGUCACUAUUAUUUAAAGUCACUGGGGAUUUCCAUUAACAUUUGGCUUGUCUCUGUUGUAAAUUAAGUUGAGGUGCUCCAAAAGUAAGGCAGAAUAAUUUCUUAAACCCAAAAUCAACAGUCAGCUCAGCCACAUCUACUGAGUCUCCGUUAGGUAGAUGAUUUCUGCUUGGGCUUCCAGAGUUCCGGGCAGCUUGCUUUUUCAGUGAUGGUGAAAAGAUAAAAAUGAAGAUGCAAACAAAGCUAAGAAAGCUGAUUUUCCAAACAGCAGGCUAGAGUUCUGUGGAGAGAGACAAGGAAAUCGCCAACUUGUCCCAGCUGCAAGAGCAGACUAUCAACGAGCACCCUCUCCACUGUCACCUAGGGACGACCACCUGAGCCAGGGACCCUGGUUAGUGGUGUAAGCUGCUGUAAGAGCUCAAACUCCAAAAGGUCAGAGGCCUGAUUCACAUCAGAUCCCACAAGCCGGGUGGCCAGGAGGGAUGAGGAAGGAGGUCUCAACUCCAUCCAGACUUUCAAGGUCCCAGGUGACCACGUCUUCGCCAACUCCGACAUGUGGUCUCCAAUGCUCCUCUGUGUGGACAUCCCACCUGCAAGUGGAGGAGGAGAGACAGGACUGAAUGUGGUGAAUGUUUAUGGGGAGACUUGAAAGGUGCUUCCCACUUGACUGGCUAAAAUUCAGUCACACCUGACUGCAAAGGAGGCUGGGAAACCGUAUUUCUCUUGCUCAGGAGGAAAUGGAAAGGCAAGCUCUCAGCCAUCCAUCUCUGCCACCCAGGGCAUCUGCAAAGUCCAGGGCACCGCCUGCAAAAUCUGGGAAACCUAAGAUCUGCUCUUCCUUGUCUUUAUUCUUGCCACAGAAAUUAAUAUUUAGUUCCCGAGUCUCUUGUAUUACAGGGAAGUUUCACACAGCGCAGUGAUGAACUAGGCAGGAGAAGGAAAGAUGGCAGCCAUGGUGGGUGGACAAGGAGUCGGGAAGGGAAAAAAUCAGAGAAACUCUACGUGGAAGGAAAAAACAGACAUUCCCCCUCUUCUGCUCACAUAAGAAUGUGAAGAUGAAGUCUCUGUAGGAGAAAUCAUGUGCAUACACAGAGCUGCGGUAGCAGAUUGGGCCCUGUUUUGACAGAGCUAAAUUUAAGCCAGACCUUGCUUCUUUCGAAAAACAGGAGUGUUUGAUUGAUUGUUUCGGUGAUAUGAUCCCUGGAUGUUGUGACUGGAGUUCACUUCUCAAAAUAAUACCAUUUAUAAUGAUUUUAUCUCAUUCUGGAAGUUCCUAGAGCUCCUGAUCCCCAAGAGCCGUGGCUUCCUUCCUCAGCCCAUCUGAACCAGUCAUCCCUGGCCCUAGUUGGGCCCCAGGAGACCACUGCCCCUUCUCACGGGCUCCCUGUGGCUCAGGACAAAGGAGGUUCAGGCCCUAGCUUCCGUCACCUUCCACACCCUUCUCUCUUUCUGCAAAAACUCUGCUAUGAAACUCGUGUCACCUAAAUUUCAAUUUUUUGAAUCACGAUCCAUCAUAAGAAACGUAUUUUUUGCAUUUUGAUGCAGCACAAAACACAGAUGCAAACAAUGAAGGGAAAGGUUUCUUGAAGUAUUUUUUAUUAUUAAGAAUAAUACACUCUGAUAAUUUCUAUUUUAUUCAAUUUAAAAAGAAACACACACACACACACACACACACACGCUGCUGGGGACCCACUAAAUUAUUUAGGCACACCAUCUUUGAUCAACUGCCAUGUUGCAGUCUCACAGCCUCCCCAGGCACUGGGAUUAAACUAACAGAAUUAUUUUUUUUCUCCUUGAAGUUGAGUUCUGCAGAGAUGCUCUACUUAUCUCUUUCUACUUAUCCUUAUUCUCCUAAAGACACACCCUCCACUUUUCUCUAUUUUUAUCUUCCAAAUUUGUCACUCUGAUACCUAACUGAGCCCUCAGCCAAUUUUUAAAAAAAUAUUUUUAUUUGUAUUAGUUAUACAUAAUAGCACAAUGUAUUUUGAUGUAUUAUACAUAUAUGGAGGGUAACUUCUCAUCCUUCUGGUUGAACAUGAUGUAGAUUUACAUUGGUCAUGGAAUCACAUAUGAUCCCUGGAUGUUGUGACUGGAGUUCACAACAUCCUAUCAUAGGAUAGUAAUGUCUGAUUCAUUCUGCUGUCUUUCCUAUUCCCAAUCCCUCUCCCUUCCCUUUAUUCCCAUUUGCCUAAUCCAAGUAUUUCUAUUCUUCCCUACACCCUCCUUAUUGUGAGUUAGCAUAUACAUAUCAGAGAGAACAUUUGGCCUUUGCUUUUUUGGGAUCGGCUUAUGUCACGAAGCAGAUAUUCUCCAGUUCCAUCCAUUCACAGACAAAUGCCAGAAUUUUAUUCUUCUUUAUGGCUGAGUAAUAUUCCAUUGGGUACAUAUACCACAUUUUCUUUAUUUAUCUGUUGAAGGGCACCUGGGUUGGGUCCAUAGUUUAGCUAGGACGUCAGUCUGUUAUUCUUCCAGCCCCCCAUCCUCUUAUCCCCUCUUGACCCACACUCAAGCUUCUAGAAAGCUUCAGACCCACGUGCUUCCAUUGCCCACUUUCAUCAGAAUCUUUCUGACUUUGCCUCCCCGCCAUCUACAUAGACUCCAUGACCACAAAUAUCCCAUCUGCCCAGCGCUCCACCACUGGGCAUGAGUCACCCGGCUCUGUCCUUAGGAUAGCUGAGCCUGCAGCCUGGCCAUCAACCCAAGGCCGAGGACCAGAAAGCGCAGACAUAGAGUCUGGGCCAGGCCUACUGCGCGGGUGGAGUCCAUGUCUAGACUCCCCUCUGCUCUUCAUUCCUUGGCUCAUGGUAGUCUGUGUCCCGACCUCCGUGUGGUCACACAGAGGGACACUGUGGGCCGACGCUUGGUCCUUUAUCUACUCUCUCUGCAACAGCUCAGAGCACUGCCAGCCUCAGACUCUCCCCCUCUACUCUGAGGGCUCCCUCUUCCCGGCUCUCUUCGUCCCUCUCUGGGAGUCCUUCUGGGGCCUGCUCCUCAGCCCCUUCUCUGCUGCCGUCUGCAGGCGCCUCCUCUUCCCAUGGCCCUGUGCAAUGCCAGGAAAACCCAUGGCACUGCGGAUCUCUCCUGCCACCGGGUGAGGAUGCUCCUCGUCACUGUACCCCAGGUCCCGGCUCCUCCCUGGGCUUCUUAGCCAGUGCGAGAGCCCCUCCCCUGGAGUCCAAUGGACCCUUUUCCAAGGCCCCGCCCGGUUCCCCAUGAAGUGGAUCUUCCCCCACUUGACGCUUCCCGGUGUUUCUCAGCGCACUAAGAAAAUUCCGUAAUUGUCUCUGAGGUCUUCCAGGCUCUGGGUCCCACGGAUCUAGCCUGCAGCGUCCUCCCCUCUUCGCCAUCUUCAGGCUCCUUCCUCGGGAUCACUCUGCUCAACCCAUGCUGCUCCUGGCUGUCCCUCCCGUGUGUCAAGGAGGCGCUGGUCCCCAGGCAUUUGCCCCUGUUUCUCCUCUGCCCCAUUCGCCCCGCCCUGGAUCAGAGAGCACAAACCCCCUUCCUCCUGUCCCUCAGGUUGCUGCUGAGACGGCAGCUGCUGCUCUGCUCAGCCCCGUGACUCCCUGUCCCCUCCCCGCUGUUUCUCUCGAACCCACGGGGUGUGUCUGUUACCUGCUGGCCCUUCCUGGGACGUUUCUCGGUUUCGCUGGCUCCUGGGCACCUAGGGGCUCCACAUGUCACCGACAGGUGAGUGGCCAGUCUCUCCUCCCUCCCCGUCCCUGCCCCCCACCUCCGCUUCUCCAAGACUCUGUAAAAGUCUGUGAUUUUCCCAGGCUAAUCCAGAAGCCUGGCCAUUGGCCUCCUUCGGUCACCCUCCAGCAAGUCUACCUCCAUCUUCUGGUCUCUCCAGCCUCACUGCCGCAGCCUUAGUUGAGUGUAACGAAUCCUCCAAAGUUUCCUGGAAGCGCUGGGUCCACCUCCCAGGAAAACACACGCACAAACACACUUUUCACACCAGGGUUUCUAGAUUCUCCAAAACCCAGGGAGAGCCCCCUUCUGUAGGUGCCACUCUGCCACUCCUCUAGAUGACGGUGCCCUUGGGCAGGUCUCCCUGCCACUGGCCCCACCCAUUUGCUCUGCUCUCCACGGGACAGCAGGUGUGCCCAUGGUCCCCUACGUGUUUCUGGAACACCCGCUGAAGGUUCUCCAUCACCCUAAGAAUGAACACCCAAGUCCUUGUGUGUCUGCGCAGAGUUGCUGGCUCCUCCAGCCUCAGUCCUCUGGAGCUCUAUUCUCAGCCAGGGNUCUUGAAGUAUUUUUUAUUAUUAAGAAUAAUACACUCUGAUAAUUUCUAUUUUAUUCAAUUUAAAAAGAAACACACACACACACACACACACACACGCUGCUGGGGACCCACUAAAUUAUUUAGGCACACCAUCUUUGAUCAACUGCCAUGUUGCAGUCUCACAGCCUCCCCAGGCACUGGGAUUAAACUAACAGAAUUAUUUUUUUUCUCCUUGAAGUUGAGUUCUGCAGAGAUGCUCUACUUAUCUCUUUCUACUUAUCCUUAUUCUCCUAAAGACACACCCUCCACUUUUCUCUAUUUUUAUCUUCCAAAUUUGUCACUCUGAUACCUAACUGAGCCCUCAGCCAAUUUUUAAAAAAAUAUUUUUAUUUGUAUUAGUUAUACAUAAUAGCACAAUGUAUUUUGAUGUAUUAUACAUAUAUGGAGGGUAACUUCUCAUCCUUCUGGUUGAACAUGAUGUAGAUUUACAUUGGUCAUGGAAUCACAUAUGAUCCCUGGAUGUUGUGACUGGAGUUCACAACAUCCUAUCAUAGGAUAGUAAUGUCUGAUUCAUUCUGCUGUCUUUCCUAUUCCCAAUCCCUCUCCCUUCCCUUUAUUCCCAUUUGCCUAAUCCAAGUAUUUCUAUUCUUCCCUACACCCUCCUUAUUGUGAGUUAGCAUAUACAUAUCAGAGAGAACAUUUGGCCUUUGCUUUUUUGGGAUCGGCUUAUGUCACGAAGCAGAUAUUCUCCAGUUCCAUCCAUUCACAGACAAAUGCCAGAAUUUUAUUCUUCUUUAUGGCUGAGUAAUAUUCCAUUGGGUACAUAUACCACAUUUUCUUUAUUUAUCUGUUGAAGGGCACCUGGGUUGGGUCCAUAGUUUAGCUAGGACGUCAGUCUGUUAUUCUUCCAGCCCCCCAUCCUCUUAUCCCCUCUUGACCCACACUCAAGCUUCUAGAAAGCUUCAGACCCACGUGCUUCCAUUGCCCACUUUCAUCAGAAUCUUUCUGACUUUGCCUCCCCGCCAUCUACAUAGACUCCAUGACCACAAAUAUCCCAUCUGCCCAGCGCUCCACCACUGGGCAUGAGUCACCCGGCUCUGUCCUUAGGAUAGCUGAGCCUGCAGCCUGGCCAUCAACCCAAGGCCGAGGACCAGAAAGCGCAGACAUAGAGUCUGGGCCAGGCCUACUGCGCGGGUGGAGUCCAUGUCUAGACUCCCCUCUGCUCUUCAUUCCUUGGCUCAUGGUAGUCUGUGUCCCGACCUCCGUGUGGUCACACAGAGGGACACUGUGGGCCGACGCUUGGUCCUUUAUCUACUCUCUCUGCAACAGCUCAGAGCACUGCCAGCCUCAGACUCUCCCCCUCUACUCUGAGGGCUCCCUCUUCCCGGCUCUCUUCGUCCCUCUCUGGGAGUCCUUCUGGGGCCUGCUCCUCAGCCCCUUCUCUGCUGCCGUCUGCAGGCGCCUCCUCUUCCCAUGGCCCUGUGCAAUGCCAGGAAAACCCAUGGCACUGCGGAUCUCUCCUGCCACCGGGUGAGGAUGCUCCUCGUCACUGUACCCCAGGUCCCGGCUCCUCCCUGGGCUUCUUAGCCAGUGCGAGAGCCCCUCCCCUGGAGUCCAAUGGACCCUUUUCCAAGGCCCCGCCCGGUUCCCCAUGAAGUGGAUCUUCCCCCACUUGACGCUUCCCGGUGUUUCUCAGCGCACUAAGAAAAUUCCGUAAUUGUCUCUGAGGUCUUCCAGGCUCUGGGUCCCACGGAUCUAGCCUGCAGCGUCCUCCCCUCUUCGCCAUCUUCAGGCUCCUUCCUCGGGAUCACUCUGCUCAACCCAUGCUGCUCCUGGCUGUCCCUCCCGUGUGUCAAGGAGGCGCUGGUCCCCAGGCAUUUGCCCCUGUUUCUCCUCUGCCCCAUUCGCCCCGCCCUGGAUCAGAGAGCACAAACCCCCUUCCUCCUGUCCCUCAGGUUGCUGCUGAGACGGCAGCUGCUGCUCUGCUCAGCCCCGUGACUCCCUGUCCCCUCCCCGCUGUUUCUCUCGAACCCACGGGGUGUGUCUGUUACCUGCUGGCCCUUCCUGGGACGUUUCUCGGUUUCGCUGGCUCCUGGGCACCUAGGGGCUCCACAUGUCACCGACAGGUGAGUGGCCAGUCUCUCCUCCCUCCCCGUCCCUGCCCCCCACCUCCGCUUCUCCAAGACUCUGUAAAAGUCUGUGAUUUUCCCAGGCUAAUCCAGAAGCCUGGCCAUUGGCCUCCUUCGGUCACCCUCCAGCAAGUCUACCUCCAUCUUCUGGUCUCUCCAGCCUCACUGCCGCAGCCUUAGUUGAGUGUAACGAAUCCUCCAAAGUUUCCUGGAAGCGCUGGGUCCACCUCCCAGGAAAACACACGCACAAACACACUUUUCACACCAGGGUUUCUAGAUUCUCCAAAACCCAGGGAGAGCCCCCUUCUGUAGGUGCCACUCUGCCACUCCUCUAGAUGACGGUGCCCUUGGGCAGGUCUCCCUGCCACUGGCCCCACCCAUUUGCUCUGCUCUCCACGGGACAGCAGGUGUGCCCAUGGUCCCCUACGUGUUUCUGGAACACCCGCUGAAGGUUCUCCAUCACCCUAAGAAUGAACACCCAAGUCCUUGUGUGUCUGCACAGAGUUGCUGGCUCCUCCAGCCUCAGUCCUCUGGAGCUCUAUUCUCAGCCAGGGUUAUUCUGAAAAGCCACUCAGACCCCUGUGCCCUUGAACCUCCUUUGCCACUCCUGCUCUUACCUCCCAGAUACUUGGCUACCUGCCCCUCAUCUUCUGCCGAACAGCUCAGGGAUUAUCAAGGAAGUACUCCCUAAUCUCCUGGGGCCCCUCUUCCCAUUGGACUGAGUUGUGGUUAUUAUCUAGACCAUGUCCCCUUCCAGAGGUUCCUCGCUGCGUCAAAGGCUGUCCUCAUCUCUUUAGCACAUAGUAGGUGCUCAAUAAAUUAUGUUAAAAAGACUGGAUGGAGUGAUCAGGUGAAAGGAGAGAGAGGUGGAAGCAGCACAUUUGGGGUUCAUAAAAAAUGGGGCAGGCACAGCUAACACCGUUUCCAAAACAGGAACAUCCAUAUUUAGAGGAGAGAUAAACUGGACAGUUCUUUCAUUUACAAAAAGGAUUCACCACCAGGGGCCUCUAACAAGCAGGUGCUUUAACCGUUCUAUGUAAGUGUCUGCGUGCGGAUCAUCAAUCAUUUCACAAAGAGGCCAAAAGCUAACCGGCAGCCAAUGGGAGCCUCAGAACAGAGUCACGAGGCUCCUGAAGCUACUCAGCAAAACAGCAGGAAGGAGGAUUCUGAUGGUUAACUGUUCAACAAGCUCCUCACUCUUCAGGAAGAAGCGGGGGAAAGCAGGCAGAAGAGGAAGACGAAGAAACCCACGGGGACGGGAGCGACAGGUUUGAGAAGACUAGCUGCACCACCCAUCGGCUGGCCUUUAAGCAAGGGCCUUGCCCCUGCGUCCAGGAGAGAGGGGUUCCAGAAUGAUGGCCGACGAGUGGCGCCGUCAGCAAUGACAAAGGGAGAUGAGGAUGCGGAAAGGUCUGGUCUGGCCUUCACGGUGCACAGGACGAGUUGGCUGGAUUUCCCCGGGCACAAGUCCGCAGGCUCAUUCAUCUUCUCACCAAGUGUCCAUAGAGCACAGGGACCUGUCAGGCCCUGGGCUGGCCACCAGAGGGGCAGAGCUGAGCCAGGUCUUUGCAAACCCUUCCUCUGGAGGCCCUCGUGCUUCAGAGGGAGCAAGCAACAAGCAAAAAAGCAAGUUUCCUAUGGAGAAAGUGGAGCGCAGGAGUCUGAGGGUGAGGUGGCAGGGAGGGCGGGACACCAGGGCCUUCAGGAAGAGAGGUGGCAAAGCCUCCCUGAGCGGAUAUGUCUGAACCACACCUGAUGCCUGGAGAAAAGCAUUCCAGCAAAGGGGACCAUAAGAACAUUCCAGAAAUAAAAUGGAGGUCACUACGGCUGGAGUUCACGGAGAGGGCAAGGGUUGGAUGAGGCUAGAGGCUAGACUUCCAGAAAGAAAACUGUGGAAUUAUUGUAAAAAACAAAAAUAAGAGGUCACUGAAGGGAUCUCAUCAGAAGAUCGCGAGGUGGAUUUCCUGACAAUUAUUUUGGAGGGGAAUGGGGUACAGGGAAGAGGAAGGCCACUGAGCACCAGUGAGCUGGCCACUGCAGAGGUCCAAGCAGCAGGCAGUGGUGGCUUGGAUCAGGAGGGUGGCAGUGAGGGCAGAGAGCGAGGACAGAUUCCAGACCCAGGGCUGAUGGCGGGUGCGGGGGAGUGGGGGGCACAGAGCUGUCGUGAAUGAUGACAGGAGGGAUCUCUCUGAGGUCAUUUCAGACAUUCUGUGACUGUGACCUAGGUACCCCAGCUAUAGAGGUUGACCCCCUAGUGAGGGGAUCUGCUUGGCCUUGAAGCUGGGCAGAGCUGUGCUUGGGCCACACUGUGAUUGUCACAGGCCCAUGGGUCGGGGGUGAGGAUACUUGUAAACCGGUCACUCGAGAAACCAAGAAGAGAUGCAUCCUGUCAUCUGAAGUUCCUGGGGCUACAUCUCCUGCGUCUUCUCCUUUGCUCUUGGCCAUGUUCCCAGCACUCCUAGAUCAGGGAUAGUGUCACUCAUCCAGCCAGCAAACAACCAAUGAUCUUGGACACCUCUGCUGCACACAGACCUGGGUCAGGCGGGUUGCUCACGAUUUGCUCCCUGUGUGGCAUCUCCCACCUUCCAGAGGAAGGGAGAGGCUACGGCUGUCUCCCCAACAACCUCAUGAUCGCAGUGAGUCCCGGAGUAGCUCUGCCUCCCAUAGAGACAGGUACCAGAAAGCAAGCAUGACACGGUCACAUGACCAGACCUGACGCUCUGUGGAGUCCCAGCUCGCUGUGGUCUAGGCCCCAGAGUGCUCUCUAUGUGAAGGGCUCACCUUGAGGGUGACGGGACAAUAUCCCACUGCAGGGUUCAGCUACCCCAGACCAGUGGUUCUCACCUGGAACAGACUGUGUCCUCCAGAUGUUGCCUGAGGGGCAACACCUUUGGUUUAGGUGACUGGGAAGGUUUCGUGCCAGGGGUGGAAGCCAGGGAUACUGCUAAGCACCUGCAGCGUGGUCAGUCGACCCUGGGGGAUGUCCACCCUCCUCCUCACCUAGAUAUGGAAUCCUGUCUUCCCUCCUUCUCUUCUGCUGCCCUUGGCUGGCCCUUCAGUGCUGCAGGCAAAGCCCUCAGCCCUCCGGCUCCCUCUACUCCAAUGUCCCCACUUGACAUCAGACUCCUCUCCCCAAACUAGUAAUGGCAACCUGUUUUUACAAAUUUUCCAGUAGCUUCUCACUGCAGGAUGAACUGUGACUCCCCGCCCCCCUCCUGCCUCUUCUCUCUUUGCAUGUUUUAUUUCAACGUCUUGGAGUCGCUUUAAUAGACCAGGCUGUCUGCAACUCUGUGCCUUUCUGCUCCGGGCUCCUCUACCUGGAAGGUCCUGCUGUCCCUCGUCCCCCCUCACUCUCACCUUUCUAGGUGCCCAGAUCCUGAGCCUCAACUCAAAUUUGCCUGCUCCUUGGGUUGUUCUGGGCUGUCCUUGGGGCUCCUUCCUGACAUUGUCCAAACUUUCAUUAAAUCAGAUGUCACAACUGUCUCCUUGGUUUUUUAAUAUUUAUUUUUUAGUUGUAGGUGGGCACAAUAUCUUUAUUUUAUUUUCAUGUGGUGCUGAGGAUCGAACCCAGUGCCCCACAUAUGCUAGACGAGCGCUUUACCUCUGAGCCACAGCCCCAGCCCCACAACUCCCUUCUUGUUCUGUGACUCUUUGUCAACAUCCCUCCUGGACUGUAAGCUCUUUUAUGGCACAGUGUGUGUCCAGCUCAUUGGCCCAGCGUGCUAUCUGCCACAUACCAGGCUACAGCUAGAUAUUUAUAUGAUGAAUGAUCACUUUUCAUACCCUUAGUUGUCUGUUGUCUAGUUUUUGCUUGUUUGUUUUGUUUUUAGCAGAUUCAAAAUUCUUCAAGUUUUCAGGGAAUAUGAAGCAAUACCAAUGAGAUAGUGUGGCUGUUUUCAAAUACCAAUGAGCCUAAAAAUCAUCUUUUUAAAAAAAUAUUAUUCUAUAAUCAGCAUUAGGCACUCUUAAAAAAUAUAUAUAUAUUUUUAAAAUUUUUUUAUGAGGUGCUGAGGAUCAAACCCAGUGCCUCACAUGUGCUAGGGAAGUGCUCUACCACUGAGCCACAACCCCAGCCCCCUAAGAAUCAUCUUAGAAAUUUGUUUUAAAUAUAGAUUCCCAGGACCCACAUAGCUGGACAGUUUUUAGGAAUUAUAAUUAAUAUAUCUUAAAGCUCACUUUUUCUUUGUGGAGUUCAGUGUUUUCUAGCAUUUUCAAGCAUUUUUCAUAUGUUGGUAUUUUAAUUGGUACAAUUGUCACCACUAAUUCUAGAAUGUUUCUAUCAGCCCCAAAAGAAACCCAUGUUCAGUAGCGGUCACUCCGCUUCCCUCCUCCUAGACCUGGUGACCACUAAAGUACUGUUAUGGUUUGAAUGUGAGGUGUCCCCCCAAAGCUCACGUGUGAGACAGUCAAGAAGGUUCAGAGGACAAAUAAUUGGGUUGUAAAAGUCUUAACCAAAUCAGUGACUUAAUCCCCUGAUAGGGAUUAACUGAGUGGUACUGGAAGUGGUGGGGUAUGGCUGGAGGAGGUGGGAAUUGGGGCAUGGCUGGAGGAGGUGGGAAUUGGGGCGUAGCUUGGGGAUCUAUUUGAAUCUGGCGAGUGGAGUUGCUCCCUGCCUCCUGAUCACCAGGUGAGCUCCUUCCUUCCAUCAUACUAUUCCACCAUGAUGUUCUGCCUCAUCUUGAGCCCUGAGGAAUGGAGCUGGCCUUCUGUGGACUGAGACCUCUGAAACCAGGAGCCCUCAAAUAAACUUUUCUUCUUUUAUAAUUGUGCUGGGCAGAUCCUUUUAGUCACAGCAGUGAAAAAGCAGGCUAAAAUACUUUCUGGUCUUCAUCGGUUAGUCCAUUCUGGAUAUUUCCUAUCAGUGGAAUAAUACACUGUGUGGUCUUUUGUGAAUGGCUUCUUUCACUUAGCACAAUGUUUCCAAGAUUCAUUUGGUAGUGUGUUUUGGUACUUCGUUAUUUUUUAUGACUGAAGAAUAUUAAUUGUGUGUGUAUAUAUAUGUCUCCUUUGAUUUGCUGUGUCAUAAAAAAUGAUUUUUAUGUCUCAGUUUGGUUUGUUUUCACUUUUUGGGCUAUAAGAAUACUGAUACGAACAUUUGUGUGAAUAUGUUGAACAUCUAUGUUCAAUUCUCAUGGGUACAGAGAGAAUUGCUAGGUCAUGUGGUAACUCUAUUUAACUCUGCUUACUGUUUUCUACAUCAGCUGAAAUAUGCUACAUUUUUAUUAGGGGCAGAGAAGGUUUCCUUCUCACAGACUCACCAGAUUUUUAUUAUAGUUGUCCUACUAGUGAUAUUCUUUUGUGGUUUUGCUUUGCCUCUCUCUGAUGAGUAGAAUGGUGGUUAAUUUUAGGUGUCAACCUGACUGGUUUAAGGAUACCCAGACAACUGGCGAAGCAUUACUUCUGGAUAUGUCCACGAGGGUGCUUCUGGAAGUGAUUGGCAUUUGAAUCCAUGGACUGAGUAAGGAGGAUUUCCACUUUACCCAAUAUGGGUGAGCAACAUCCAAUUGCUUGAGGGCCAGAUAGAACAAAAAAGGCAGAGGAAAGAUGAAUUCUUCCUCUCUUCUGGAGGUGGGACACACAACUUCUUAACCAGCCAUUGGUUACUACUGAUCUUCAGCCUUUGGACUCCUGGGCUUACCCCAGUGGUUCCCCAGGUUCUCAGACUUUGGAUUUGGACUGAGCUAUGCCAUUGGCUUCCCUGAUUCUCCAGCUUGCAGAUGAUCUAUCAGGGGACUUCUCUGUCUCCAUAAUCACUUGAGCUAAUUUCUAUAAUAAACACCCUCUCCUCUAUCACCUAUCUAUUUAUCUACCUACUUAUCUAUGUAUCAUUUAUCUAUUUAUUCAUCCUGUUGGUUUGGUAUCUCUGGAGAACUGUGACUGAAUACAACUAGUUUUGCUGAGAAUCUUUUCAGGUGCUUAAUAUCCAUUUUUAUAUCUUCUUUGUAGAAAAGUCUGUUCAAGUGCCUUGCUCAUUUUUUUUAAAUUGGGUUGUUGUUGAUGUUGAUGAGUUGUUGGAGCUCUUUAUAUAUUUUAGAUAUUAAUCUCUUACCAGUUAUAUGAUUUGCAAAAAUUUUUCUCCCUUUUUGUUUUUUCUCUCUCUUGAUCUUGUCUUUUGAUGCACAAUUUUUAAAAUUUUGAUGAGGCCCAAUUUACCAAUUUUUCUUUUGUUGAACAGUUUGUGAUACACAGGAAACCAUUUUGUUGUUCAAAGACACAAAGAUUCAUGCCUAUUUUUUCUUCUAACAGUUUUGUAGGUAAGGUCUUACAUUUAACCAUAUAAUCUAUUUUUUAAUAUGUGUGAGGCUGGAGUCCAACCUCAUCCUUUUUGUGUGUGGUAAACAGUUGUCCCAGUAUUUGUUGGAAAGAUUUUCCCACCAAGUGGUCUUGACUCCCAUGUAGAGAAUUCACUAGUCCACUGCUUCUGGACCUUUCAUUUCUAUUUCCUGAGCCCAUAUGCCCCUGCUUAUGCCAGCAUGACACUUUCAAAUGGCCAAGGAACCACACCUGGACAAACUUUGAUCUAAAGUACAGUUGCUAUAAAUAAAGGAGAUCAUCAAGAACAAUGGUUCCCAACCAGACUAAACAUCAUAAUCAUUAUAAAGUCUUGGAGGAAAAAUAUGUCCUGGUCCCCAGGUCUCCCCUGGGGCCUCCCCUCCCCCUUGGUUUUGAUUCAGUUGGACGCAGGCAGCCUCAGGCAGCUCUGUUUUCCAACAGCCACUCUUGCCAUCAUUCCGAAUUGGAAACUGCUGGUCCAGGUGAUCAUUUAGCAUUCUCUCAACAGAAAGGAUCUGUAAUGUUAGGAAAAGAGAAAAUGCAAGGUGGAAAUUUGACACCAAAACAUGUUAACUAAGCAUUGUGUGCGUGUUUGGCAAUCAGAAGGAUCUCUCCGAUGACAAAGCUGGAGAUGCUUCUCUGAAAAGCAACUGAAGUAGGACAAGUAUGUCUCUAAGAUGGGGAGGGGCUAAUCCAGCGCUUCAGUGUUCAUGGAGAUACGGGACCUGACCCAAGCCCGGGCACAGCGUCCUCCUCCUUGUUCCCAAUGCCCCGUGGUAUGUCCGUCUCCCCAACAGACUCUGGUUCUUUUUGAACAGAAACAGGAUCUUUUCCUCUUUGGAUUCCCAAUGCCCAUCACUGUGCCUCGCACACUGCAGGUGUUCAGUGAAAUGUCAAAUUAAGCUAAACAUUUUCUAUGUUUAGUCAAAUGCAUAGCAAAUGCAUAGGUCAAAUAACAGGCCUUAUGUAAAAAUGCUAGGUAUGUGGCGCUUUGAAAACAGAACUGGGAGGGAAUUAAGCAAUGGGAUUUAAAAGAUCAUGUUGAAAAACCAAGCAAUUAUUUUUGAACCAUGGUUAUCAUUUCUGUCCCCACCCACCUGCCUACCAGCUAUCUGUCAGGGUCCCAGCAGGAAACAGAUGGCUUACAGCACUGAAUGAAGAAACUAUUCACAGAGGAGUGGGCAGAACUCAGAGGACAAGGAAUGAAGCCCCUGGGACUAACAAUAGCAAUAUGUCCUAACCAUUCUUACGCCUGCAGGAACAGAGGGACAGAGGAGGGCCCAGAACUUAGUGAGACUGGCACUGGGAGGUGGAUGCCCAGGAGGACCUGUAUCCAUAUCCAUAGAACGGGAAGAAAAGGGCAGGAGAUUUCUCUGGAAGGACAACAGAGAAUAGCCAGUAUAUCCACCCAUGAUGAGCAGGACGAUGUGGCCUGAUUCAGUGGUGACCCAUAGGGGAAAACAAGUUUAGGGAGCUGAGGUACUGCAGAUCAGCUAAGCACCGUAGUCUGUGUCUUAUCUUUCAUGCUUUCAUUAAUUCAUUCAUCAAACACUAAGUCAAAUGCUUAUUGAGUCAGGGAAGAGAUGGGGGCAGAGGAGGAGAAGGAAUGGGCAGGGUCUCUGGGGUUGAGGGAGAGACAAGAGGCAGCAUGGACGACUUGGUGCUAGAGGAUCAGGAAGUUCACAGCUGGUCCCAAAGAGCCUGCGUGAACUUCAGAGCCCAGACCAGAGGGAAAUGAUGCAAGGGGUGUAAGCAGGGAGUGGACAAGUCCAGUUUUGCCUUUCAGAGGGGCCACUCUGGCAACGGGGUAGACAAUCUAGUCUGUAAACAGGGCAAACAUUCAGGAGGUAUAUGUGUGGUGCCGGCAGGGGACUGGUAGUAGAGACAGCGAGGAGAGAGAGGUAAGUUUCAGCCAGAGCCGGUAGAGAUAUUUGAUUGAACGGGUGAUGAUGGAGACCAGGGAAGGACUGAGGUAGCAACAUCCUCAUCCCUGUAGGGAGGCCAUGGUGCUCCUCAGCAAAGUGAGAUAGUAAGGAAGGGGUGGUUGAGCAGAGAAAUGAGGAUUGCCAUUUUGGAAAUGCAGGGUGGUGCCUGUGGGAGAUGUUAGGGCCAAAGAGUUAAAUUGAAGAGAGGGAUUUGGGAGUUAUUUGCAUGUCCCAGGAGAGAGGUUGAGCUUCACCAGGGAGCGUGUGUGGUAGAGCAAGAAGAACAGUGAGUCAGAACAGGGUCCGGGGAGCACCAACAUGCGCGUGGCAGAUGGGGGAAAAGGACCAUUUCAGAUCAAGAAUGGGGAAGAGAGAAGGCAGCAUACUGAAGUUAAGGGAUCAGGAGCCUUCAAAAGAGUUGAUCCACAUUUUCAAAUGCCACUGAACAUCCUCAAAAGAAAAGGACUGAAAAUAUUCAAUUAUCAGGGAAGCUGCUGGUCAGCUUGGUGACGUUUUAAUAGUGCAGUGACUGGGAACAGAAGCCAGAUUACAAAGAGCUGAAGAGCAAAUGGACCUCUGAGCAGCAAAUUGGAAUGAAGGGAGGAGGAAGUUGAGAGGUAACUACUGGAGAUGGGGCGGGGAACUUGGGUAUACAGGCACAGGCUAAAAGGAGAUAGGAUAGGCCUCCUAAAGAUGAAACAGAGCAUUGACCAUCAAAAUCUAGCAGUAGGGGCCGGGUGCAGUGGCGCAUGCCUGUAAUCCCAGCAGCUUGGGACAGGAGGAUCAUGAGUUCAAAGCCGGCCUCAAGAAGAGCGAGGUGCUAAGCAACUCAGUGAGACCCUCUUUCUAGAUAAAAUACACAAUAGGGCUGGGGAUGUGGCUCAGUGAUUGAGUGCCCCUGAGUUCAGUUGCUGGUGCCCCAUCUCCCCCUCAAAAAUCUGUCAGUGGGCAUCAAGGGAUAGAGUAGAGAACCCAGGGAGAAGGGCUCACCUCUGAGACUGAAGGCAAAGAUGAGUGUGGACAGGAUGGUGCUCACAGACGGGAGUGGAAAGUUGCAGGAAAUGGGGUCUCAUGACCUUGAAAUUGGAGACAAAUGUAUUUGGUAAUUUGCAAGAUGAAAUUUUGAGAAGGAGCCCUGAAGAGUGUUAGAGGGCUUGGAAUGGUCACCCGGGAAUGAAGGAAUGGGAGCUCUCUCCGAACAGGUAAAGGUGAGACAGGCAAAAGGAGUACCCCGUGGAGGUUGGGGGCCAUGACUUGGGGUGGCCUGGCCUAUACAGAUGUGUCAAUCCCCCAGGAGUGCUCAGCCUACAAGAUGCAGCAAAGACAGAGUAACCAGAGCCCCCCUGGGUUUGGGUUUUGCUUAGAGAGUGCUGAGGGGAGCUGAGGAGUCGGAGGGUUCAUGAGACUUGUUGAGCCACUCUGUCCAGGACAGAGUUUGGAAGCAGGAGGAGCCUGGUGAAUGGGGAGGGCAGGGUGCAGUUCCUGGACAUGGGGACUGGAGAGAACUGGGAAGCUACACAGAUGUGACCAAAAUGUAAUUCGAUUUUACUGAAUCUGAGAGAAAGGUGAAGAGUCAACCUCAAUGCCGAGAAGUUUAUGCUACUUUUGAAACUGCUCAUCCAAAAGCAUCAAAGUCAUGUGCAGGGAGCAAAUACGUAAGAGGCAUUUCGAUCACUCUUGUCCUACAAUGAUGUCACUAAUGAUAGUUAAGGGGGUGACAGCUAUUUGAAAAGUAAAGGGAGGGACCAUCUGGAUUUUCCUGUCUUUGUCAAAUCUGGGUAAACGUUGCAGCCCUUUGUCAGGACGCUCUCCCGGAAGGGCUGGCUGUGUCUCUCCAUGAAUAAGGAAGCCCCCUUUUCAGGGAGAUUCUGCGGAUGAAAAGCAGCAAGCCUCCCAAACUUUCCAGCUGUCUUUUCUGAAUCGCCGAGUGGUUGAUCAAUGGCAAGGGGCACCUCAGUUGUGCAGAUGCAGCCAUCCCACGCUGGGUGCACCCAGACCGCAGUUCUGACAUGCAAGGGGGAAGAGCGCCCGGGACUCCUGUCAGAUCAUCAAACAGGAUGUUGGCCUGGCAGCAAGCAGGCCUGGAAGCUGUUGGCAGCCGAAUGUUGGGCUGCAGCGCCAGGCUCAGCCACAGGACGGGCGCCGUCCCAAAAGCCGAGGGGCAAUCUGUAUUCCAGUGCGCGCCCUGGGCCAUGCUGCGGACCCUCCGGCCAGACACACCAAGCCAGGCCCACGCUCGCUCGGGACCCCGAGACCGCUGUCACAGGGCACACAGGCCUCUUUGUUCAGGAAUACUGCAUGCAUGGGAGGAAGCGGCGCCCCUCGGUUCUUGCCUUCAGGCCUGGGAAGAAAGACCUCACAGUUGAGCUGCGGGCUCCCCAACAUUGGGGUCUGGGGAGGAGGGGCCUUGCUGAAAGCUAGUUGGCUGUAGCACAUCCAAAAACGGAGCUUGAAGGGGUUUGGCAAGAACCGUGGCAGAGCUUCGCGUAGGUGUCACGCAGGCCAGCGAGGGGCUGGCUGGGGGCCCUUGGCAGCUCCCGCUUAUUAAAUGUAUUGAGAAAGUGGCUCCGACAGAGAAGGCUCUGUCAACACUGAGGCUCUGGAGCAAUCCUUUCAAAUGACAAGGAGCCUCUUGCUUUACGUGUGGAAAGAGCUGAGGAGAGGCAGAGAUUCAAUGUGACGCCCAGGACCAGUUGAGUAAUUACUAAUUGCGACUGCGGUGGCUGUGCCAUCUGCCUGAAGUGGUCUUCCAUCAACUGGAGAACACUCAGCCGUCCAACUCAGGGCCUUCUCUCUCUGCUUCCUAUGAUACCACCCCAAAUCUGGGAUGCCACACAAGCGAGAGGCGGCCAGUGGGGGAGAUGGAUCUUAGAACCAUCCUUCUCCGACCUUAGGAAAAUGUCUAGAUCAUCACUUCCCAGGCCUCCCAGCCUCAGCUGAGGCUGAUACAUGGGCUCCAUUUCAACUCUAUUCACAAUGGACAGCCAUUUCCCUUUGUAAAAAUAUAAAUUAAAAAAACAACCCUUGAAUCUUAAAGGCAUGGUUCUUUAUUUGUUAGCUCCAGAAAGCAUAGCUGCAGAAAGCUAUUGAGUAGAUUCAAAAGUUGGCUGCAUGGUUGGCACCCUGUUAGGUGGUUUGCAAAUUCCCAGCAAGGUGUAGGGUUAAAAGGAGUCACCUGGGUUCCUGGGGACUACUCAACUGCUUUCUGCAUCAAUUUUUGUCACUAUGUAGGUUUGGUACCCACAGUCUAAGGUUGAAGAUAGAGCAUUGAGAGUCACGUGGCAGCCCAGGCUUGCUGCAGGGUCUGGAUCAUUGGUCCCUCCCCCAUGAGUUGCACCCCAAAGGAAGAGAAGUCCUGUUCUUCUUAAUAGGACUUGAUAGGAUAAGUCCUUUAUGCUCACUCUAGCACCUAACCCAGUGCAUAGCAGGAACCUAGCAGAUUUUUAAUGGAUGGAUAGGUGUUUCAUUUGUCUCAGGGACUGAGAAGAGAUGCUUCUUUGUAUUUUGGCACUGUCUGCUUUGUUUACAGGUGAGGCUGGGACAUGCAUCUUUUGAAAGGCUUCCAAAUCUAAGGGUUCUUAUUAUACCACUGCUCCCAGGGCUUAGCAGGACCCUCAAGGAUUAAGCCCUGACCACAAGCACUUCCUCCUCGCCCAUCCUCAUCCCUAAACCUGGUCCCAUUCCAGGCAAAUCCUAGGGGUGGGGUUUGAGCUGAGAAAAUUAGACAUGCACACUCCAAUUAAUAAGACACCUUUAUUUGUUCCCUGUGUCUUAUAAAUUUCUCUAGGGUCCAGCCCAUCCUUGCUUUGCUCGCCUUGGUCAAGAGACCAACCUCCUCCUUGCUUCCCAUUUUACAUUCAUUCAACAAACAUUUGUUCAAAGUAUAUUGGGUGUCUGACCCUCUCCUGGUUACUAGAGAAGUAAACUCAUCUCUGUGAGUCUCGAGGCCACUGGAGAAGGGAGAAGUGCAAACGUCGUCCACGCUGGUUCUGACACGAUCGUGUACACAGACUGUACUGGUGGGGGCAGCUCACAGCAAAAGGAGGUCUUCCUUGAUUUUCACACUGGGGAAGUUUGCUCCCUGGUGUAACCAUAUUGUAUCUCAUUUAUAUCCACAGUUUACAACGUGUGGUAUAUAGCUUCUUUACUCUUCACAAUAAUCCUAGGAGAUCAGAGAUCUGAUUUCCACUUGACAGAUGAGGAAACCAAGGCACCACUCAAAAUCCCAGGCUCAGAUGAUGAGGGAAGCUCUGGACCUACCUACCUACCCCACGAUGCUGCCUUCCCACCUGGCCUGUGGCCUUCCUCCCCACUUCAGAUGGAGAACCUGGGGUUCAUCCUUUCAAAGGGGAUAAAGAAAACCUCCAAAGCCAGAAUCCAGUUCUUUACCUACUUACUUUGGCCUCGGUUGCUUGUCUCUUUGUUUUUCAGUUUCUAAACUAUAAGAAAGAAGUAAAAAUAGUGAAGAGAAUGUUCUGUUGCUUCCUUAAUGAACCCACCUGCUGGCUACUGCCUGAGAUUCCUUUAAAGAGGCACAAAUCCCUUCAUUCCGCAGGUAUAAAUAAAAAGCUUAAGAUGCAAAUGCCUAGAAGCCUUAACACACAGAUAUAAAUACGUUCCACUCAAGUUCAGAUGAUAAUAGAAUAUUCCAUCCUGCUUGUUCCAAGAUAGAAAGCAGAAAUAAAAAUCACCAGUAUUACGUAGCUGUUACAGUGCCCAAAAGCUCUUACCAAAAUCUCUUCAAUUCAAACACUAUACAUAUAUAUAUAUAUAUGUAUAUAUUUGAGCAUCUCUUAGGGGCCAGGCACUGUAUUAGGUGCUAGGGAUACAAUGGUAACCAAAACAGACACCAAAACAGUUCCUUGGUCAAUGUAGGCUGAAUAUAUCCCAUUCUGGAAUGUUCUCCCUAAGGCCCACGUGCUGAAGGGUUGGGUUGGGUUGGGAUUUAAGUCUGCAUGAACAUGGAGACUUUUGCUUUUUAAUGGCCAACAUUGCUAUCUCCGACCCCGGUGGCUGGGCCACAUCAACAUCCCGCCCUUUCGACUUUGGUUCCUCUUACUGUCUCUCCUAAAGCCACAAAACACAACCCUCAGAGACAGAGAAAUGGAAGUUGAACGUUCCUGGGGCCUUAGAAGCUCCUCCUCUCUGGCGUCUUCAUUUCUUGGCGGAAGAGUAGAGGGAGAGGCCCAGGGCUGCAAUGUGCUCGUGGAAGAUGCCGCAGAGCUGACACUGCUUCCUAGCUGGUGUGUGGAACUCGAGGGCCGAGAGCAAGAGAGGGGAACAGAGUCCACCUCGGGGCACCGUCCACGUCCCCCAGCUCUGCCUGUCAGCCUGGCUGAUGGGAUACUACAGCCCAUCUUUAAAAUGCAAGCAAAGGUCAGCCACCCAGAGAGCGCCAAUACAGGUUUUAAAACCCCAUUUCAAGACCGCUUGUAUUCUCUACUGUUCAUUUUUUUUCUAAAUCCUUUCAUUGAUGACAUUGUUAAAAAAAAAAAGAAAAGAAAAGAAAAUGAAGGUGAAUGGAAGUCCUCCGCAGUGGCUGAAUUCUGUCUGCUAUGAUUUGGACAGAUCUGGGCAAGUUUUCAGUCAAGGGACAAAGAAGAGUGUUUCCCAAGCUGCGUUCAGACUGGACGAGUCUCACCAAGAGCUUCUCCCUAAAUCCCAGCCCGCUAAGAUGUCUGCCUGCUUCCAGAACAUUUGGAAAUCUGCACAUAGAACAGCAGAUUUUCUCUCCAGGACCAAAGAGGGGGGGACAGCUUGUGCUUCUUGGAGCAAGGGAGGUACCCAUGCUCUCUCCUCUGCCCCUAACUCACCUUCUCUUUCUCCUUGACAGUUUCUUUAAUGAUUAAUCAGCAUAGAGGCCAUAAUUAGAGAUGUCUUAAGUAUCUCUGGAGAGAAGCAAGAGUGGGUUUUAUUCUCAUAACAAAAUGGGCAUCUUGGCCCUGGUCCUCUGGUACUUGGUGACAAGACAGGAGCUAAGAGAUAAGAGGUGGGAGGUGGGUUCUGAAGGUCAAAGGCAGGUGAGGGAAGUCAAGGCAAGAAGCGCUUCCGUAGGAUGUGCUUUCACUCUGGGCAGUCCCGCCCCAGAGGGCAGCCGGGGGCUCAGCUGAUGCAUUUACUUGACACAAAGGACUUUUCUAGAAAGAUGGCAAGGAAAAGCACCUCAUCUCUCAGAACAGCUAACAGAAGGGAGAGAGGAGCAGGACUGAUGUGUCAGGCUCCCUUCUGUCUCCUGUCUCCCAUCUGCCAAGUUUCAUCCCAAAGAGAGCUGCUCCUCCAUCCUUCCAGAUUACGUAAUGCUGUCCCUCCUCUCAAGAAACCAGGACCCAUACCUGACAUGGCCGUGUUUUGCUCAACUCCAAAAGUGAAGGGGCAGAGAAUUAACCUCAGUCCCUCCCCGUGACAGCAAAACCUCAUCCCAGUGGUGCCUGGGCUCAUCCUGAUCGUGCUGACUAAAGUCUGCUUUCACUGUCUUCCAAAAAACAAAAAUAAGCAGAGGAGUAAACGGAUAGGUGGGGACAUUAAUAAGAAGGAGGAGGAGGAGAAGGAGGAGGAAAGGGAACAGGCUGGUGCAUCUAAGGGAAUCUGAGCAGGAACAUAAGGUCCCUGUCUCAGUAUAUGAAUGACAUCAUUUUCUUUCCAUGGAAUAGGUUUUAAUAGAAGAAGGAAAAAAAACAUCAAGAAGAGUCUGGGUGGUUUGUGGAUAACAUGGAGGCCCAAGGAGUGUGCAGAGGGUACCCAGAAGGAAAGGUCCAAAGAGGUAGAGCUGAUUAUGCUUUUGCAAUUUGGUAUCCCGGGAACCUCUGGGUUGGGAGCACUGGGGGAGCGGGAGGGGAACUCAGGAUCCUAGGAUCCCCACUGCUGGGAACCACGUACUCAGGGAGGCGCACAAGUGCUCAUGUGCAGAGAAACCAGUGACCGUGACUUGGUGGAGAGGAAUGCUGACUUUCCUGCUGGGGCCUGCAGAGAUGUCAAGAUGGCCCCCAGUGACUUACUGUCUCUCCAGCUGGUCCUCAGGAUAGACUGUGUGCACCCUUGGGCAAGGAGAAUGGAAGAUAGAAAACUGAACAUCCCCAUUUCCCGAGAGAGAAACAGGACCAGCCCCUCCCCUUGGCACAAAGAGAAACAACAGAGUCCCCUUGAAGGAUGUCCAGGCCCACUCUCUCUGGCCUGCAGCAACUCCCCACCCCCGUGAUUUCUUAUUUGUUUCCUGGUCUCAACCCUGAGAACAUCUUGAUGGCAAAGCAUCCGUUAGGGAGCAGAGCUUUUGUGGUCCCUCUGUCAACUGCAUGAUGGCCUCUUGGGAGGAAGCCCCAUCGGCUUUCUCCUGCCAGAGACCUACAAAAGUUGCUAAGAGCAUCCAGGAACCCCUGGAUCAUGAGCUGGACCCCUCCAAAGAAGGUAGGGGUGGGCAAGAUCUUGGCCUACAGGGUUUGGACCUCUGAGGGCUCAACAGUUGGUUGUAAUAAAUUAACAUUAUUCUUAAGGCUUUCUCCAGCAUGUGCUUCUGCCUUCAGCAGCUCUCUGCUUUAAUAACAAUACUGCGAAGUUGCUGAUGAGCAAUCUACACUCAAGAGGUUGUUAAGAGCAGUUCCCAAGGUUACACAGCUGAUAAAGACUUGAGCCCAGAGUUUCUGAUCCUAAAUUCUCCUCCCCUUCUUUGCUAGAUCCUAAAGAGGAGUCUGAGGGGGGAGACUUUGCCUUAGAUGCCAUGAUUCUCAUUUAAAGACGUGGUUUUAAAUGCUUGCAUGUAAGGCAGGAAGGAGCUCAGAGUGUUUCAGGCCCUGGUCUCAAGAUAGCCCCUACCCCACACUAUCCUGGGUGGCAGCCAUGAAAUCCUCCUCCCUGAGCGUGUUCAUUCCUUGAUUAUCACCCCUCCCACCUGGACUAUUUUGAGAAGAAAAUCAGCAAGCAGUUCCCAGCCUCCUAUUUCUCUCUCUCUCUCCCUCCCUCUCCCUCUCUCUCUCUCUCUCUCUCUCUCUCUCUCUCCCCCCCACCCACCCCACCACCCCUGCCAUCACGCCAAUGCACCAAUGCGAGGCAGAGCCUCCCCUGGAAUUUUAAUAGCAUCCCUCUGCCUCGGAGCUGGGGGUGGAGAUAAGGGUGCUGCCAAGCCUCUCCGUGCUCUCUGCCAGGGUCUGAGGGUGGAUCUCUCACUUCUUCAAUUUGGGAGCCCUUCACGCAAAGACAUCAUCAUGCAAUUAUUAGUGCUCAGUGGAGAGGGGGCGUCGGCUCCGGGUUCCAGCCCAACUGUGUCUCUUCACUUACAAGAAUCUCUUCUUCCUUGGCCUCAGCUGCCCCUCCACGCUCCCUUCUGCACCCUGCCUCUGGCCUUCCUCCUCCAGGCCUGGCGGAGCUGAAGACAAGGGACCUGAUCUGUGGGGAAUUCUGGGACAUCCGGGGAUGCAGGGAAACCCUAUUUGAAGAUCUGGAUCAUUCUAGACUGAAGGCUGUGGGGGCCUGGGAGCAGAGAGCUGGGCCUGCUGCUGCUUCCCAAUCGCCAUCCUCCUCCCUCCAGUCCUCUAGACCAAAUAACCAGAGGCAUCACCAACUUCCUCUGUUAAUCUUUCUUUUUUUGGGGGGUGGGGGGUUUGAACCCAGGGGCACUUAACCACUGAGCCACAUCCCCAGCCCCUUUUAUUUUUUCAUUUUGAGACAGGAUCUCAUUAGGUUGCUUACAGCCUUGCUAAGUUGCUGAAGCUGGCUUCAAACCUCCUGUCUCAGCUUCCUGAGCUGCUGAGAUUACAGGCAUGAGCCACCAUGUCCAGCUGUUUUGGCUUUUCUUGACUUUUCUUUGUACAGUAGCAAUUCCUAGAUUUUUGGGUGGAGAUUGGCGAAUGGGCUAAAAGUAUUUUAGGCCCUGGGGUAAGUGGCUCCAUAUGCAAUAUAAGGAGGUGAUGGGGGAACUGCAUUAAAAUGCUAAUUUUGACUCCUUGCUGGUGUGUGCCUUUGGGCCUACCACUUAACUCAUUUCUGCCUCAGUUUCUCCAUCUAUAAAAUGAGAAUUCUUCCUACCUGGAAGGGUCAUUGUAAGGAAUCAAUGUUCUUUGAGAGUCACUGGUCCACUAAAGGACUCAAUAAAUAUUUAGCUCUUCACCAACACAGGGUCAUCUUGGGUACCUGCUCAGUGCCCUCUGUCCUGAAUUAAAAACCAAAGAAAAACAACACCCUUCACUUUGGAAAUCACCUGGUCCUCGCGGUUCUUUGCUUCUUCUCUUGCAAGCAUAUUGCCACAACCAUGAAGACAUCACGCUCUGCUAAGUGCCCAGUAGAAAGAUCUCCUCCCUUCUAACCCAAGCCACCAAGGCAGUUCUGUUCUCCCAUCUUCUUAAGCUUCCCCUCCCCCAGGCACAGCUCACACACCAUUGGAAGAGAAAGAGGCCAAAGAAUCAUCAGUUGGCUUAUUUGUGUAUUUGUAUCUACUAUGCCCCAAGUAGGAUUUCAGGCAACUCAAAAUAUGCCAGUACAAUAAUAUUCAAAUUUAGAUUAAAGUUCAGUAGAUGAGGACAUUGGGUCAUGGGGAAGUUGAGUGGCUGAAGGGACAGGAGGUAGCCAGGGGUGGAGGUUGACAUAGCGGGGCACCAUAUGCAUGUCAAUCAUGUAAGCAGAUCUUCUCAGGAAGAGCUCAAGGUUGAUUAAAAAAUCCACCUAUUUUCACUGUGUGCCUUACCUGACACUUUUGGUAAAGGAUUAGAAGAGAAAGCCACUAAAAAGGACACCCUUGGCAAUAUCCUCUGUUUCUUUACUGGGGACACCAAGUGAGAGUCAGGAGGAGGUGGAGCCAUGGCUAUUUUCUGCAAUCUCCAGCAGAAUGUGGGUUCAGUGUUUGGCAUCCAGGAAGUGGAAAGCGAUACUUCUGGUUUACAUCACCAAAUUGAGAUAAUUUGGGGGUUAGGCGUGUGAAAUGCCAUUCCAUCAGGAAUUCAAGCAAACGCAGACUUUAUGACAUGGAACCACUGUAGACAUCAUGGUAGCUCAAUUAAUUAAACAACAAACAUUUACCCAAUGACAUUGGGAGUUCAACAUCUAAUAAGAUGGUUAGAGAUGUGUACCCCAUAUACACAAACACUCUCUCUCUCUCUCUCUCUCUCUCUCUCUCUCUCUUCCACUGUGAGUAUUGGAAUUCAUGGAAUAACAGAGCUGGUGGGAAACUUAGAAACUAUUUAACCAUCUCAGGAAGGAGGAUCCCAAGGUUUCGAACAAUGCCCAUCAUAGAGUGAAUGAAUGGCGGCAUGGUGACCUGUUUAGCUCCUGAUGUGUGUCUCUCCCACAUUUUUGGACCUUGUUUCCUUACUCCUCCUCCCUUCCAUCACCUUUGCUUCUGGCCAUCCCCUGCAGAUCUUAUCUCUCCAUCUUCUUCCUUCCUUACCAACAAGUUUGCUGCUGGUAUUUUCACUGCCGCUGGCAGGGAACUCUGCUCUGGGGUCCCUCAGAAGCUGCAGCACCAGGACUUUGAUUCUCCCGGUUUCUAAGGAGUUCCCAAGGUGAGGUUUGGGUUCUUUGCAACAUAGGUGUUUACACCAAGCAUCCAGCUUCCUUUCUGCUAAACUAUCGAUUCUUUCUCUUGGCAGCUGAUGAGAGGUUUGAUGGGGGAAUCUGUCGUCAUUUCUAAAGGAGGAAGAUACUGUGGGAGGAUUUACAGCUGUUUGAAGAAUUCUUCCUCCACCCUCAUGAUUGUUCUAGAGAGAGGAGACUGGGGUGUAUUUUCCCUGGCUGGGAGCUGCUUUCCUGAACUCACUCUCGUUCUUUCUCACUCUCUCUUUUGCUCAGGAAAGAGAGGAAACCCAAGUGCUUCCAAAUAAAGGUCUGAGUAAUGAGAUUGGAUCUGAAGGGAUUGGUUAUUAAAUUCCAAGAAUUUCCAGAUGCAGUCGAUACCACCAGCAGAUUUUGUUCCUUCCAGACGGGCAGAGGAUCUGCACUACUGGGGGAGGGGGGAGGCGGGAAGGACCCAGGGAGGUGUUUAUUGUCGCUGUCACCAUCCCAUUUCCCCUUUAAAUUUUUCUACUGUAAGAGACUUCUCCUGUGCUGUUGCAGCAACUCUCAGCAAGUGAAUAGUGCUUUCUGGGGACCUUGGCUUUGUUAAGUAGAUCUGCAGUGAUACAGUAGAGGUUUUAAUGUGCUGCGCUGUGUUUUAAUAGACUAUUAAACGACAGCGUUGCACAUUAGCUGGCUAUGGCACAAUUGCAGAAAUAUUGAAGAUGUGCUCUCAGGAAAGCACUAUUUACUUUAAUGGGGAGAUGCCGCAAUCGCCGAACAGCCCUCAAAGCAAGCCACGAGGGAGGGAGGGAGGGACGAGAAGGAGGUGUAGCUGUGAUCUAGGCUGAAGCAAAGCCCUCUUCCUAGCCCCUGUUCCUGAGUCCAUGAUGGCAAGUCACCAAAUCAGGGCCGGGUGACUUAUCAAUCCACCUAACAAAAAGAUUCUGCCAAGCUGUGAGUCUCAAGGUCAUCUGGCACCCCAGGCUCCAUCUCACUGGCCUCAAGGUUGGACUGACUUUGAGUCAGGUGGUCAUUUGUCUUAGUUGGGGACAUCGGGGAGCUGGGGUUUUCAUGUUCUUGCGAUUUGUUCUGCUCUCUGUGGCUGGAAUGACAGGAGGACGAGGUAGAUGAGGUUCUACUUUGGAACUGUCAUUUGGCUCCAAGAUUUUCUCCUCCCAAGUGUCCCCAUCUUAGCACGCAUGUGCACACGCACAUCGAGUACACACAUACAAGUGAAUCCACAGCACUGACUGUCAGUCUCAGCAAUAGAUAAGAAACUCAGGAAUUCCAGGGUCUGUCCCCCCUCUCAUUUCAGAGGAGGCUGGAGCAAGUCUGCUCCCAGGAGGAAAACUACCAGGUUCCUUGAUCAGCCGUGACAUCAGAGAACAAGGCCAUAGCUCAAGGCCCCCAAAUCCAGCCUUUAGAAUAAAAUCGUGGGCUGGUUGUUUUCCACCUUUAUUACCCUGCAGCAGAAAUAAACUCCAAGCCUUUACCCCGGUGAGAGCUGCGAACUGCAUUUUCUCCAAAAAUCCAUUCUGACCCAUAGACUUUCCCCUCCUGUGCCUCCCUGCCAUAAGCAGCAUUUGAAAACCAAAUUGCAAAUGCUCAAAGAGGCCAGGGCCUUGCAGGAUAUGCUCCCCAAACACAUUCUUUAUGCAAACCCAGGCCCACAGGAAGCCUGGAAGAGGCAAGGAGAAAUGGAAAGACAGGGAAACAACCCCAAAAUCAGUAGUACAACAAGACUUUCCCAUCUGCCGAAAUACGUUGCUCAUUCAGCCUUGGAAGUAAUCGCUUUUUUACUCACCCAGUGACAUUUUAUUCUAGGUGAGCAGACAAGAAUGUUAAUUUCAUUCAUGUUCUCUGCCUGGUAUUGUUGUGAGGAAGGAAGAAUCGCCUCCUUUCCUUUUUUUAGAUGAAAGCCACCUGAGUAGAGUAGGCAAGCUAAGUGCAUAGGGUGGGCUUUGAGAAGGUUCUGAGCAAGGACGUGGCUUCUCUCCUACAGCCCACGCCAUCUUCCCACCUGCAGAGCUCCAUCCCUCUGGGCUCAGAAGCACCAGUACAAGAAGGCAAUUUCACAGACUGCAUCUUGAAAUCCUUUCAAAAUUAUAUUACAAAAAUAACACGGAGCUGGGCACGGUGGUGCAUACCUGUAAUCUCAGUCUCAGUAGGGAGGCUGAGGCAGGAGGAUUGCAAGUUCAAAGCCAACCUCAGCACUAAGCAACUUAGCAAGACCCUGUCUCUAAAUAAAACAUAAAAGGGGGUGGGGGUGUGCCCAGGGGUUAAGCAUCCCUGGGUUCAAUCUCCAGUACCAAAAGUCUGGGCCUAGGUUUGCAUAAAAUAUUUGUGGAGCAUAUUCUGGAAGGCCUGGCCUCUUUCAGCAUAUAGUCAUAAAUAUUUUCCCCCAAACUGCAUAGGAAAGUAUAAAAUCUAAAGAAAAUGUCCUCUUCAUCUACCUUAUCUCUAACUAACUCUUCAAAGGGAGCCUCCAUGAACAAACCUGGAUUUUAGUUCUUUUAGUAGUUAUUACAGUUUUAAGUGAUAUGUAUUGUUUAUUUCAGCUCAAGAAGCAAUCAAACAAUUCUCUGUGAUGAAAGGAGACAGAAACAUUCCUUCCCACCUUGAUUGUUCCUCCACUUCUUAAAUUGGCUCAACAUCUUUAGGUGACACCUUAGGGAUCAACUGCAAUCUUGGCAACAAGUAGUUAGAGGCGAGCUCAAGGGGAGAGGCUGAGAGGGGCGAGCGACCAGGAAGGCUGGACAGGGAGGCAGGGAGGCAGGAAGGCCGAGAGGGAAAGGGAGGGAGCUGCAGGCUCAUUUUGUUGCAUUGUUCUGUACCAACAACUCGUUUGCCCCCAGGGUAGAAGGAUGGCAGGCCUGCAGAGAGACAGCCGCCUUGGUGGUCAGGGUGAAGGUUUGGAAAUCAAGAGGCAACUGAGUCGCUCCUCCCACAAGGCUUGCCUUCCAGUAAGCCACCUUACAUGCAUAGGUACCCACUCAGUCUAUUUUUUUGUUGUUGUUUUGUUUUGGUACAGGAAAUCGAGCCCAAGGGUGCUUAACCACUGAGCCACACUCCCAUCCUUUUUAAAUGUUGUAUUUAAAGACAGAGUCUCUCUAAGUUGUUUAAGGCCUCACUAAGUUGCUGAGGCUGGCUUUGAACUCUUGAUCCUCCUGCCUCAGCCUCUUGAGUCACUGGGAUUACAGGCGGGUAUCAUUGCACCAGACCGGUGCCAUUCUUGACAUGAGGAAACUGAGGUUUAGGAGGGCUGGCUGACUUGCUGAUUACAGCCACCUACUAAGUGCCAGAGCUGGGAGACCAGCUGAGUCUUCUAACUCCCACUGCUCUGCUCGUUCCACUACCCACAGCCACCUCCACCUGCAUUUGAAGUCAGAAUCUCUCACUGGAGCUACAGACAGUCCUGACUCGGGUGAAGGAUACAUGGAAACGGAUGGUCUGACCCGAAGAGGACUGCUCUGUUAGCAAGAAAACAAGGAGAAACAACUCUCCUUUUUAUACCCUGAAAUCGUUCCUCCUUGCAAUUAAACUGAUCUCUGUUUACAAGUAUUUAGCAUGAUUCUAGAAAUUGCAUUUUGAAAUUAUGCGAACAGAGAGAGAACGCAGCCCACACAGUGAGUGAUUUCUCUUGGGUAAUUGGCUGCUGGUUCUGGCUCCAGCAAUGUCUUCUUUUUUAGAGCGUAAUUAGUGAUUUCAAAGGAAACGGUUAGAAAUGGCCGGGGUCUCCAAAGAAAGGCUGUUCUAGCUCCAACCGCCAGGAGAUCUUCUCAGAAGCGUACCGACAAAACUUCCCUGUUGGAUUUUCUCAAGCUAUCUUUCAAAGAUUCGAAAGUCCAUCGAUGUAUUAAACUCUUCCAGAUAGGAAAGAAAUCCCAGAUUCCAUCAAAAGCAAGAUCUCUUUUUCCUUCUGUUCUUCCUACCCUCUUUCCUCCCCCACCUCUUUCUCUUUCUUUCCCCCAAUCUUUCUUCUUUGCAGAAAAGAUACAGAUCAUUUGUAUUUUAAUCAAGCCUGCAUUAUUUUUGUUAGAUUUCGAUUCAAAAGUUUAAACAAGAUGACAGCGUAUUUCUCUCUGCAGUAGGCAAUCCUGGGCUGCUAUGGUGGUCCCAUGUGAGAAACAAUGAGGCUUUUCUAUCUUUCAUCCUCAAGGUCACCCCAGGAUCCAAGAUGGCUGCCACAGAAAGUGAUAAAGAAGCGUUGACUCAGUUGUGGACUCUACUGAAGCCGAGUGGGGGUACCAUUGGGCUGAUUUGAAAGUGAUAGCAAAACCAAAGAUAUUUCUUAAUUUCUCAGCAUCGUCUUAGGAGCUUGGGAUGCAAAAGAGCUUUGUCUUUUGACUUAUUCUAUUCAAAAAUGUUAACCAUGAUUCCCAUGAAGAUAUUGAGAGCCCUCUGCCUGUCUCUACAGAAGGCACUGACUGGGAAGGUUAGCUACCACGUCAGAUAAUAAAAUCAGGAUUCAGAAGCUCUGGAAAGGCUGCAAGCCUGUUAAAAAGUAUCAAGAGAAAAUUUAACAGGAAGAAAUACAAAAUUCAAUCUUCAGAUCCAAAAAAAUAACUGUACUAUGAUUCCAUUUAUAUGAGGUACUUAGUCAAACUCAGAGAGAGGAGCGUAGUGAGGGAAAACAGUGCUAUGGUUUCAAUAAGUGUCACCAAAGGUCCCUGUGUCAAGGGCUUGGUUACCAGCCAGUGGUGCUAUUGUGAGCUGGUAGAACCUUCAGGAGGGAGGGUCUAGCAAGAGGAAGUUAGGUCAUUAAAGGAAUGCCCUUGAAAGGGAUCUUGGACCCUAGCCCCCUUUCUCUCUCUCUCCCCCCCCCCUUUGUAUCCUGACUGCCACAAAGUGGGCCAUUUCCUCCACCAUAUGCUCCCUGUCAUAAUGUACCGCCUCACCUCAGACCCAAAGCAACAGGGCCAAAUGAGGAUGGACUGAAACCGUGAGCCAAAGCAAGCCUCUCUUCCUGAUAAGCUGAUUAUCUCAGGUAGUUUGUCACAGUGACGGAAAGCUAACUAACAUAAAGUGGCGCUGAGUUUCAGUUUUGCAACAUGAGGAGUUCUGGGAAUGGCUGCAGGACGUAGUGGUGACGGUUGCACAAUGAUACAAAUGUUCUUAACACCACCGGACUGCACAGUUAAAAAUGGAUCAGAUAGGAAAUUUUAUGUGUAUUUUACGAUAGAAGAAAACCUGAAAGCUGUUCAAGUGCAGGAUGAGAGAGACAUGGCUUAGCUGCAGAUUUCGUCUCUGUAUUAAAGUGACAUGUGGCUAUCAAAAGAUAGAUCUGGAUCUGGCCUCUGACAGGAAGGAAAAUGGAAGUCAAGAUUUCUGACCACUACAAUAUACAGUGCCCUUUGAGGACCCUUAAAAGGGUUCUGGAAGGGAGAGUUGCUAUCCCCUGAAUCACAAGUGAGGGUCCAGGCUCAUCAUCUAGUAAGAACGAGUCUCAGUUCCUUCCUUGGUCUACACUUCUCUCCAAAGACAUGAUCCCUGUACAGUAAAGUUGGAGGGAUGGCAAAGCCCUGCUGUUCACUGCUGGCCCUGCCUGAAAUCCCACUGUAGUCCCAGUUCCGUGGGGAGCAGGUCUAACUGGCUCCAGGCAGCAUUUUGCUUGCAAGGGGAAUGCUUAGCCAGGUAGUAUUAACAGCAAUUACUUUAUCUGAUUAAGCAAUUAGCAGUCUUUGUCACUUAGCAGAGAUCAGGGCCCACAGAAACCAAAGCCUAGCAGAGAAGAUAUGAAGGGAAACCAAAGAGAAGAACUGUCAGGGGAGCAAUACAGAUGCUGAGAGAGAGAGAGAGAGAGCCAGGUCGGUGCCUGCUGGGAGGGGAGGUGGCACGGGAACCCACCUCCGCUCAUCCUUCAGGACAGAAGAAGAAAUGGGGGAACAAGGUCAAACGAGAAUCUCCCAACUGGUUGGUUCCAACUGGACCAUUCAGUGGUUCUCAGCACUGGCUGCACAUCCAAAUAACCCCGGGAUUAUGAAAAAGUACCUGUGCCUGGUCCCCACCCCACACCAAUUAGAUCAGAACACUGGAGGAGGGGCCCGCCGUCUUGUUAGAGCAUCCAGGAAACCCAGGGUGCAGGGCUGGCUGGCCCUGGAGAUCCCUGAGGGGGUGGUCUGCAGGUACAGCUCCACCCAGGGAUUUCCCCGGAGACGGCUCUCCCCUUCUCCUUCUUGGGAGCUUCGUUACUAUCCACACACACCCUCUCUCCACCCAGCUUCAUGGGUCUGGAUGAAAGAACUUCCUCAUCCAAGGGUGGAAAUCCAAGGAAAGUGGAGGAUCCCAAAUCCUGGAACAAGCCAGCCUGGCCUCUCCAUCAUUACCAGGACAUUGGUUGGAUUUCCCUCCACCCCAUGCCGACUUCUCAGCCUCCCCCUGGCCCCAAGUGCCAUCUGGAAUGUCCCCUCCUCCGGGAGCUCUCUUCAUUCAGGCUGAUCUUAAACUCCAACUCUUCCAUGAAUUCUUCCCCAAUUUCAAGAAAGGGAGGCUACCUCUGCUGGUCUUGCUUGGCAUGCUUAUGCAAAGCACUUCAUGAACUUGUUCUUUGCUGUUGUAAACUAGCCCGGGUUUUACCCCUGUGUCUAGAGGGCUCCAUACAGAAAGUUAUCAGAAAAGUCAGCUAGACACAAGGAUUCCCAGGGAAUACCCCCAAACAUUCUAACUGCAACGCCCAGGGCUGGCUCAGUGCUGUGGUUUGGGAUAUCCCUUUGUUCCCAACUCAUGGCACCUUUGGGAGGUAGUGGAACCUUUCAGAUGUGGGGUCUGGUGGAAGGAAGUUAAGUCAUUGGGAAUUUGUCCUUGAAGGGGAUGUUGGAACUCCAGCCCCUUCCUUUCUCUCCAUUUGCUUUCUGGCUGCCCUGAGGUAAACAGGCCACCUACACUAUGCACUCCCUCCAUGACAGAUGUGCCACCACAGAUCCAAAACAAGAGGGCCAAGGGAAGAUGGACUGAAACCUCUGAAUUAUGAGGAAAGAAAAACCUUUCUUCUCUUUCAGCUGGUGAUCUAAGGUAUUUUAUAACAGUAACGGAAAGCUGAUCAACACACUCAGCCAUACAUGUUAUUAAAAACCCUGCUUACUUUUAGCCAAGUUUGCUUAUUGGCUCAUACAGUUUGGUAUAAAACGUUAAGGAGGAGUCCUUCUUAGGUUACUAUAAUUUUAUGUGAUUGCCUAUUUUUGGGGGUGAGGGGGAUCAUGUUUAAUUGUGUUACGUAUUUCUGGCCCAGGAUGCAGAAGAAAGUGAGGAAAUUGAUUCUCAUUUUAUACCCCAGUAAGAAGAAACUUUUCCACCAAAGAAAUUUAAAAUUCGCCUCCUAUCUUCACAGCGUGAAGAAUGCUGAUUGCAGCAGGGAAUGAAAAGAGAAUACAGACACAGAACCAAGGUGUGGGGAGGAGAAGAAGUUAGUUGGUGGAGAAUGUAAGUCGAACUAGAGAUUUUCUGCAGAUGAAACAAGAGAGAGAUACUCUAACUCAGAUCUCCACGGUGACAGCAUCAUGGGACACCUGGCAAGGUCCCAGUGAAGGAGCCUGCAGACCAGACCAGAGUAGACUGUCCUCUUUGACCCUGACCUCGGGUUCUCAUUUGUCCCUGGAGGAGGAGAAACUGGAAAUUGGUAUUAGAUUUCCCAGAGACCGUGUCCAAGUAGCUAUGCAUGAAUAAACAUGGGAGUAAGAUACAUUUCUAGAAUGUUCUC
RNAcentral lists this long non-coding RNA (34959 nucleotides) under Marmota monax (woodchuck). The record is from RNAcentral. Lineage: Eukaryota; Metazoa; Chordata; Mammalia; Rodentia; Sciuridae.